Long non-coding RNA from Drosophila persimilis, 318 nucleotides. RefSeq lists it as uncharacterized. The transcript has 2 exons. Lineage: Eukaryota; Metazoa; Arthropoda; Insecta; Diptera; Drosophilidae. The record is from RefSeq and is a predicted model, not a curated record.
GCUAUGAGAGUGCGUUAUAAAGUGUCGGACGAGCGAAGUCGAGGGCACAUUCGAUGUAGGAAAACUGUUCCAGCAAUAUGCACUGGUCGCUGCUCAUCGGAGGUAUGGCUGUGAUACUCAGUCUGAUCGGAAGUAGAUUCUGGGUGUCUGGUGCCGAGCAGCCCACUCUCUAUCCUUGGGAAAAGGAGCCAGUGACAAAGCACAGCAAGCCCUUUAGGGUAUCUGGAGAUAUCUAAAGCUCUGUGAAGGGUCUCCUUGGGUUGAUAUGAAAAGUAUUAUAUUAUAUUUGUUCUUGAAAUAAAUGAAAUUACAAAACCA